UUUUAUUUUUGUUUUUGAUUUUAAAUUUUUGUAAAAUAUUUUAAUUUGUUUUUUUUUUUUAAAUAUGAAAAAUUUGGGAUUUGAACUGGAUUAGUACCCAGGUAAUCAAAAUUUAUUAAUUCGGGAGUAAAUUUUUUUAUAAACCGAAAAAAUAUUGACGGGCUUUGUAUUUUUCUUUGGAAUAUGGGUUUGGAGAGYCCCCCUUUGAUUAGGGUUUUUAGCUCAGGUAGGAUUGUUUGUUUUUUAAAUUAUUUAAAUUAUUUUUAUUUUUUUUUUWAAGGCAAAAAAAUAUUGGGUUUAAASCCUUUUUGCCAGGAAUAACAAUUUAAGAUUUUUGGGAUAAUUUUUUUAUUUUUUUUUKGAAAUUGRAAAAAAAAAAAAUUUUUUUUUAAGGGAAUUUUGAAUUU
This 407-nucleotide ribosomal RNA is filed under the name Protospirura muricola. RNAcentral describes it as "partial 12S ribosomal RNA". Lineage: Eukaryota; Metazoa; Nematoda; Chromadorea; Rhabditida; Spiruridae. The record is from RNAcentral.